RNAcentral lists this ribosomal RNA (254 nucleotides) under uncultured bacterium. RNAcentral describes it as "partial 16S ribosomal RNA". It matches the Rfam family "Bacterial small subunit ribosomal RNA", at positions 524 to 776 of the family's 1533-position model. The record is from RNAcentral.
UACGUAGGCAGCGAGCGUUGUUCGGAGUUACUGGGCGUAAAGGGUGUGUAGGCGGUUGUUUAAGUUUGGUGUGAAAUCUCCCGGCUCAACUGGGAGGGUGCGCCGAAUACUGAAUGACUUCGAGUGCGGGAGAGGAGAGUGGAAUUCCUGGUGUAGCGGUGAAAUGCGUAGAUAUCAGGAGGAACACCGGUGGUGUAGGCGGCUCUCUGGACCGUAACUGACGCUGAGACACGAAAGCGUGGGUAGCAAACAGG